Long non-coding RNA from Sorghum bicolor (sorghum), 1298 nucleotides. RefSeq lists it as uncharacterized. Lineage: Eukaryota; Viridiplantae; Streptophyta; Magnoliopsida; Poales; Poaceae. The record is from RefSeq and is a predicted model, not a curated record. The transcript has 4 exons.
ACCAAAACGUGGACAAACUUUUCGUGCGACAUUCUUCUCUCGCGGUUUCGUCCUGCCCCUGCGACGCGCAUCCCGCCCGGCUCUCUCUUCCGCUCGGAGCCCCGCUCCCAAAUCCGCCUCUCCUCGCCGCCCCCUCCGUCCCUCCCAGAUCCGCGUCGACGCAGAGCCCCCCCUCCCAGAUACUCCUCGGCCCUCCCGUAUCCUGCUCGGAGCCCCGCUCCCAAAUCCUCCUCGGCGCCCCCUCCCAGAUCCUCGUCGACGCUCCCCUCCCAGAUCCUCCUCGGCGCCGCCUCACCAACCCACGUUCGCCCGCAGAAGCCACCGCCGUCACGUCGUCUCUCCCCUCUGCAAUCUCCUCUGCUCGCCCUCACCCUCACAGUGGGACGGGGCAAAGCGGCGUUUGAAGUGUCGGACCCAAGAUCUACGCGUCUCAAGUUGAAGUGAUGCGGCGGAUGCAGCGUCUUAGGGCAUCAUCGAUAGGGUGGUGCUAGAGGCAUCGUAUACCCGCCGGCGGCGGCCAACACCCACCAGGUAUUCGUACCCCUUCUCUCCCCUUCCUGUUUUCUGAAACCGAGCACAUGGAUAUUAUUUUUCUACUAUGAAUCGCUAGCUGCAGCUAGCAUCAGUCAAGGCAAUUGCUUGAAGUGUAUAAAAGUGUUUUUUCUGCAGUCGAUUAUAUUGAUGGUCUUAUUUUCUAUAGUUGUAAAUCCUACAAAUUAGCUAGACACAAACUUGUGUAUGAGGAAGUCGCAGAGCCUGUGCUUGAGGCAAGUCUUGCAUUCCAGAUGACACUAAUUAAUUUUGGUGUUUACCUAUGUCUGGUAAGUCUGUAGAAAUUGUGGUGUUGUAUCCGAUCUGUCCAAUUCUAAAAGUAAGAAGAAAGUUGAGGGAUCUUUGCUUCAAUUGCUUAGGGCACAUCAGGGGUUUCAAUGACUGAGUGUUUUUUUUCUGCAGUCCAUUUUGCUGAUGGUCUUUUUUUCUGUAGUUCAAGAGGCUGAACCUGAAGAAAAAUUAUUGGAGAUAAUUUACAUCAGUGUCAGCACCCAAACCGGAACUUCUUACCAUCCAUAUCAACUGUUAGGAGGGCCUGGAGUGUUGGCCUGACCAUACUACCAGAGAGCUGGAACAUCGCCACCAAGGUCCACUACCACGCCGCCAUCGAGGACCAAUGCCACAUCCGCUCAACCAUUGCUGAUACCAGGUGUUCCAACCCCCUUCUUUUUGCUUCCUGCUGUGCAAAAUCGGCCAACCCUAACUUUGUUGUGUAAUUAAUCUUACCUUUGUUGUGUUGUUGGAGA